UACGUAGGGUGCAAGCGUUGUCCGGAAUUAUUGGGCGUAAAGAGCUCGUAGGCGGUUUGUUGCGUCGGCUGUGAAAUCCCGAGGCUCAACCUCGGGUCUGCAGUCGAUACGAGCAAACUAGAGUGUUGCAGGGGAGACUGGAAUUCCUGGUGUAGCGGUGAAAUGCGCAGAUAUCAGGAGGAACACCGGUGGCGAAGGCGGGUCUCUGGGCAACAACUGACGCUGGAGGAGCGAAAGCGUGGGGAGCGAACAGGA
Molecule: ribosomal RNA, 255 nt
Filed under: uncultured bacterium
Lineage: Bacteria
Description: partial 16S ribosomal RNA
Rfam family: Bacterial small subunit ribosomal RNA
Source: RNAcentral